This 216-nucleotide long non-coding RNA is filed under the name Lathyrus oleraceus (garden pea). RNAcentral's name for it is "Pisum sativum (pea) long non-coding RNA (PSAT_LNC013920)". The record is from RNAcentral. Lineage: Eukaryota; Viridiplantae; Streptophyta; Magnoliopsida; Fabales; Fabaceae.
GUUUGAAUGAGUGUUAGUUCUUUUUGUCCUUUUUUUUUGAAAUUUUAAGUCAAGUAUGGUUAAGUUCAUUUACAAGUUUGAUUAAGAAAAUAAGUUUGAAAAUGCAAUGGCAUAAGGCCAAAGUUUCUAAUUUGCAAUAAAGUCUAAGUUUAGAAAAUUCAAGCAAAUAAGAUUUUAAAAGGAGGGAGAUAUUUUGAAAUUAAAGAAAUGGGGAAG